GGGAAAGCGUCUGUCUUAACAGGCGAGUCUCACGUGUGGAGAUGUAGUGGACUAGCCACUGCGGGUUACCCACGGAGUGAAGUGUUCGAUGCUUGUUAAGACAGAUAGGUUGCAGGCAACUAGGGACAUAUUAGGGACAGUAGCAGUUGUUAUGGUAAAUAGCCAUUUUAGGGGGGACUGUUGUGGAAAUAAGGUCUGCACAUAUUUCCUAAUUAGAGAAAAUGUCUAUUUACUCAUUUCACGAUAUAUCACAUAUAAAGCUAAG
Molecule: non-coding RNA, 265 nt
Organism: Pelobates cultripes (western spadefoot toad)
Lineage: Eukaryota; Metazoa; Chordata; Amphibia; Anura; Pelobatidae
Source: the annotation of a GenBank genome assembly